AUUGAACGCUGGCGGCAUGCUUUACACAUGCAAGUCGAACGGCAGCGCGGGCUUCGGCCUGCGGCGAGUGGCGAACGGGUGAGUAAUACAUCGGAACGUGCCCAGUAGUGGGGGAUAGCUCGGCGAAAGCCGGAUUAAUACCGCAUACGACCUGAGGGUGAAAGCGGGGGAUCUUCGGACCUCGCGCUAUUGGAGCGGCCGAUGGCAGAUUAGCUAGUUGGUGGGGUAAAGGCCUACCAAGGCGACGAUCUGUAGCUGGUCUGAGAGGACGACCAGCCACACUGGGACUGAGACACGGCCCAGACUCCUACGGGAGGCAGCAGUGGGGAAUUUUGGACAAUGGGCGAAAGCCUGAUCCAGCAAUGCCGCGUGUGUGAUGAAGGCCUUCGGGUUGUAAAGCACUUUUGGCGGGAACGAAAAGGACUUGUGCCAAUACCACGGUUCGAUGACGGUACCCGCAGAAU
This 464-nucleotide ribosomal RNA is filed under the name Lautropia mirabilis. RNAcentral's name for it is "bacterial SSU rRNA". It matches the Rfam family "Bacterial small subunit ribosomal RNA", at positions 29 to 487 of the family's 1533-position model. The record is from RNAcentral. Lineage: Bacteria; Pseudomonadati; Pseudomonadota; Betaproteobacteria; Burkholderiales; Burkholderiaceae.